UUUUAAUAAUGCAUGUGCAUGUGUGUGUGCGUCUGACCGUGUGCUCCUGUCUUCCUCUCUGCAGUCAUCCUCCCCGCGCCGGCCUUUGACAAGGACCAACUCUGCGGAGCGUUCACGUCCAUCCACCUGAUCGCCACCGGGGUGUCCUGCUUCAUGGGCGCCGGUCUUUUGUCCUUCCUGGUCUACGUGUACUGUCAACGCUUCCACAAGCCGUCGCAAGAGUCGGCCGUCAUCCAUCCGACCACGCCCAACCACCUCAACUACAAGGGCAACGCCACGCC
Hippocampus comes (tiger tail seahorse) is the source of this 281-nucleotide long non-coding RNA. RefSeq lists it as uncharacterized. The record is from RefSeq and is a predicted model, not a curated record. The transcript has 2 exons. NCBI's taxonomy places the organism in Eukaryota, Metazoa, Chordata, Actinopteri, Syngnathiformes, Syngnathidae.